Molecule: ribosomal RNA, 452 nt
Filed under: uncultured Flavobacterium sp.
Lineage: Bacteria; Pseudomonadati; Bacteroidota; Flavobacteriia; Flavobacteriales; Flavobacteriaceae
Description: bacterial SSU rRNA
Rfam family: Bacterial small subunit ribosomal RNA
Source: RNAcentral
CGGGGUGCAGCAGUGAGGAAUAUUGGACAAUGGGCGCAAGCCUGAUCCAGCCAUGCCGCGUGCAGGAAGAAGCAUCUAUGGUGUGUAAACUGCUUUUGUACGGGAAGAAACACUCCGACGUGUCGGAGCUUGACGGUACCGUAAGAAUAAGGAUCGGCUAACUCCGUGCCAGCAGCCGCGGUAAUACGGAGGAUCCAAGCGUUAUCCGGAAUCAUUGGGUUUAAAGGGUCCGUAGGCGGUCUAAUAAGUCAGUGGUGAAAGCCCAUCGCUUAACGAUGGAACGGCCAUUGAUACUGUUAGACUUGAAUUAUUGGGAAGUAACUAGAAUAUGUAGUGUAGCGGUGAAAUGCUUAGAUAUUACAUGGAAUACCAAUUGCGAAGGCAGGUUACUAUCAAUAUAUUGACGCUGAUGGACGAAAGCGUGGGGAGCGAACAGGAUUAGAUACCCUGGU